UGAGCAUGGUAUCAUGGAGUUCCCCAGG
This 28-nucleotide non-coding RNA is filed under the name Mus musculus (house mouse). The record is from RNAcentral. Lineage: Eukaryota; Metazoa; Chordata; Mammalia; Rodentia; Muridae.